AUUGAACGCUGGCGGCAGGCCUAACACAUGCACGUCGAGCGAGUGGCGGACGGGUGAGUAAUGUCUGGGAAACUGCCUGAUGGAGGGGGAUAACUACUGGAAACGGUAGCUAAUACCGCAUACAAUCAGAUGUGCCCAGAUGGGAUUAGCUAGUAAGUGGGGCAAGGGCUCACCUAGGCGACGAUCCCUAACUGGUCUGAGAGGAUGACCAGCCACACUGGAACAGAGACACGGUCCAGUGUCCUACGGUGGGCAGCAGUGGGGAAUAUUGCACAAUGGGCACAAACCUGAUGCAGCCAUGCCGCGUGUAUGAAGAAGGCCUUCGGGUUGUAAAGUACUUUAGGCGGGGAGGCGUUACCCGCAGGAUGAACACCGGCUAACUACGUGCCAGCGGCCGCGGUAAUUC
RNAcentral lists this ribosomal RNA (406 nucleotides) under uncultured bacterium. RNAcentral describes it as "partial 16S ribosomal RNA". It matches the Rfam family "Bacterial small subunit ribosomal RNA", at positions 30 to 526 of the family's 1533-position model. The record is from RNAcentral.